CCCGGGCCUUGUACACACCGCCCGUCACACCACGAAAGUUGGCAAUACCCGAAGCCGGUGGCCUAACCCGCAAGGGAGGGAGCCGUCGAAGGUAGGAUUGAUGAUUGGGGUG
This 112-nucleotide ribosomal RNA is filed under the name uncultured bacterium. RNAcentral's name for it is "partial 16S ribosomal RNA". It matches the Rfam family "Bacterial small subunit ribosomal RNA", at positions 1373 to 1482 of the family's 1533-position model. The record is from RNAcentral.